UCUCAAUGACUUUCAUGGAGGCCUCAUUUC
RNAcentral lists this non-coding RNA (30 nucleotides) under Rattus norvegicus (Norway rat). Lineage: Eukaryota; Metazoa; Chordata; Mammalia; Rodentia; Muridae. The record is from RNAcentral.